UGGGGAAUUUUGGACAAUGGGCGAAAGCCUGAUCCAGCAAUGCCGCGUGUGUGAAGAAGGCCUUCGGGUUGUAAAGCACUUUUGUCCGGAAAGAAAUCCUUGGCUCUAAUACAGUCGGGGGAUGACGGUACCGGAAGAAUAAGCACCGGCUAACUACGUGCCAGCAGCCGCGGUAAUACGUAGGGUGCAAGCGUUAAUCGGAAUUACUGGGCGUAAAGCGUGCGCAGGCGGUUUGCUAAGACCGAUGUGAAAUCCCCGGGCUCAACCUGGGAACUGCAUUGGUGACUGGCAGGCUAGAGUAUGGCAGAGGGGGGUAGAAUUCCACGUGUAGCAGUGAAAUGCGUAGAGAUGUGGAGGAAUACCGAUGGCGAAGGCAGCCCCUGGGCCAAUACUGACGCUCAUGCACGAAAGCGUGGGGAGCAAACAGGAUUAGAUACCCUGGUAGUCCACGCCCUAAAACGAUGUCAACUAGUUGUUGGGGAUUCA
RNAcentral lists this ribosomal RNA (486 nucleotides) under uncultured bacterium. RNAcentral's name for it is "partial 16S ribosomal RNA". It matches the Rfam family "Bacterial small subunit ribosomal RNA", at positions 355 to 833 of the family's 1533-position model. The record is from RNAcentral.